This 492-nucleotide ribosomal RNA is filed under the name uncultured bacterium. Its description in RNAcentral is "partial 16S ribosomal RNA". It matches the Rfam family "Bacterial small subunit ribosomal RNA", at positions 29 to 507 of the family's 1533-position model. The record is from RNAcentral.
AGUGAACGCUGGCGGUAGGCCUAACACAUGCAAGUCGAACGGCAGCACAGUAAGAGCUUGCUCUUACGGGUGGCGAGUGGCGGACGGGUGAGGAAUACAUCGGAAUCUACUUUUUCGUGGGGGAUAACGUAGGGAAACUUACGCUAAUACCGCAUACGACCUACGGGUGAAAGCAGGGGAUCUUCGGACCUUGCGCGAUUGAAUGAGCCGAUGUCGGAUUAGCUAGUUGGCGGGGUAAAGGCCCACCAAGGCGACGAUCCGUAGCUGGUCUGAGAGGAUGAUCAGCCACACUGGAACUGAGACACGGUCCAGACUCCUACGGGAGGCAGCAGUGGGGAAUAUUGGACAAUGGGCGCAAGCCUGAUCCAGCCAUACCGCGUGGGUGAAGAAGGCCUUCGGGUUGUAAAGCCCUUUUGUUGGGAAAGAAAAGCAGCAGGUUAAUACCCCGCUGUUCUGACGGUACCCAAAGAAUAGGCACCGGCUAAGUUCGUG